ACGGGAGGCAGCAGUGAGGAAUAUUGGUCAAUGGGCGGAAGCCUGAACCAGCCAAGUCGCGUGAAGGAUGAAGGUAUUAUGUAUUGUAAACUUCUUUAGCAGCAGAGUAAUAAGGCCCUCGUGAGGGCUGAUGCAAGUAUGCUGAAAAUAAGGAUCGGCUAACUCCGUGCCAGCAGCCGCGGUAAUACGGAGGAUCCGAGCGUUAUCCGGAUUUAUUGGGUUUAAAGGGUGCGCAGGCGGCCCGUUAAGUCAGCGGUGAAAUGUCGGGGCUCAACCCGGGCACUGCCGUUGAAACUGGGGGGCUUGAGUACGGAUGAGGUCGGCGGAAUGUGACGUGUAGCGGUGAAAUGCAUAGAUAUGUCACAGAACACCGAUUGCGAAGGCAGCCGGCCAAUCCGCAACUGACGCUCAUGCACGAAAGCGUGGGGAUCGAACAGGAUUAGAUACCCUGGUA
RNAcentral lists this ribosomal RNA (454 nucleotides) under uncultured Parabacteroides sp. RNAcentral's name for it is "partial 16S ribosomal RNA". It matches the Rfam family "Bacterial small subunit ribosomal RNA", at positions 341 to 792 of the family's 1533-position model. Lineage: Bacteria; Pseudomonadati; Bacteroidota; Bacteroidia; Bacteroidales; Tannerellaceae. The record is from RNAcentral.